GUGCGAGACCGAUAGCGAACAAGUACCGUGAGGAAAAGAUGAAAAGAACUUUGAAAAGAGAGUUAAAGAGUACCUGAAACUGCUGAAAGGGAAUCGAAUCGUUUCCAGUGUCUAUAAUCCGCGGCAUAUUUCAUUGGCGAGUGAGUGCGUGCAGCGCUUUGGAAGUGGUUUUCCUCUCCAUACGUUGUUGUGCGUUUGCUUGCUGGUGCCCUGUGUCGCGGUGGGACGUCAGAGUCAGUUCGUAUACUGCGGGAAAUGGCUACUGGGGAGGUAGGUCACUUCGGUGGCUGUUAUAUCCUGAUAACUAGUCGUCGUGGCUGGGACUGAGGUGUCUACAACGUGCUUUUGAGUCUGCGGGCUUCUCGUGUUGCUGUUUGCUUGGAUAGCUUGCUAUGUUUGUAAAUAAGUCGUGCGAUUGAGACCUGUAGUAACUUGUUGCUGUUCGGGACUUUG
Molecule: ribosomal RNA, 453 nt
Filed under: uncultured Oomycota
Lineage: Eukaryota; Oomycota
Description: LSU rRNA
Rfam family: Eukaryotic large subunit ribosomal RNA
Source: RNAcentral